GUAGGCAUAGUUUAACAAAAACAUUAGAUUGUGAUUCUAAAAACAGAGGUGGAAAACCCCUUGCUCACC
This 69-nucleotide transfer RNA is filed under the name Thaumatichthys pagidostomus. RNAcentral describes it as "tRNA-His". It matches the Rfam family "tRNA". From Rfam's summary of the family: Transfer RNA (tRNA) molecules are approximately 80 nucleotides in length. Their secondary structure includes four short double-helical elements and three loops (D, anti-codon, and T loops). The record is from RNAcentral. Lineage: Eukaryota; Metazoa; Chordata; Actinopteri; Lophiiformes; Thaumatichthyidae.